Vitis riparia (riverbank grape) is the source of this 2998-nucleotide long non-coding RNA. RefSeq lists it as uncharacterized. Lineage: Eukaryota; Viridiplantae; Streptophyta; Magnoliopsida; Vitales; Vitaceae. The record is from RefSeq and is a predicted model, not a curated record. The transcript is spliced from 2 exons.
UUCUUUCGAGAUCCUCGGAAAGUACGCAGCGGUACAACUGUUGCUUUGGCGUAUGACUAACGGUUUACAGCUAAUAAUCAUGGGCUGUGCUGCAUGACUCAAGCAAAUGACUAAACUGUCCUUACCCAAGGCAAAGAGAGUUCCAAAUCUGUAAGGGCAAUUCAAGUAAAAAAUGAAUACCGGCCAUUGCGGGCCAAUGCCCGAAGGGCGCUGCAGGUAUCAGCGACUCAACGGUUUAAGAUUCGCCCUCUGAAAGUUCUGAACAGCUCCCACUCAUUCUCUCUAUUCUGUUUGUCACUCUAUAAUUUUCUCUCUUUUUCUCUCUAGAACCAAGAGAAGAAGCUCUCUCCCGUUUUUGACAGGUUCAGGGAAAUCUUUGGCCCAUGCAAAUUCAACUAGGAUAGCUGGGUAUACAAUCAGAUCGACUUCUCCUAAGUCUCCCACUGCUUAGUGCCUUUAAGAGUGUGGAAGGAUCUGAUUAUGAAGGUAAUUUGACUGAAAAUUCUAAAAUAGACACUACAUAUAUACAUGCUAGCAGAACCGUUACAAGAUUUAUCUGCUGCAAGAUUAUUGUUUGCCAUCCCUUAUUCCGGCUGCCUGAACUUUUAAACUCUUUCUCUUCUUCUCUGAACUGAUAGUCUUGUUGCUUCAUGGUAGAAGUUCAUGUUUGAGUUCCUUAUUACAAACCUUUUUGUUUUACUGCAUAAACAAUGCUUUUUCCCUAGGAUAUACACUAUUUGCAGUAAGAAAAUAACUAGUCAAGCACAAAAAAAUUUAAGUAUCUACUGGCAUACAUUUGAAUCCUUAAUCAAGCAGGGCCCAGACAGUAGAAGCUUGUUCCCAAAUUUACCUGAUCAUGUCACUGCAAAUGGAGACCUGUCAAUAGCUGCUUCUAGCAUGAUUUGUUCCCACAGUGUAUCUGGUGACCUGUAUGGUGUUGCACCUGAUCCUGUGCAGCUGAUAUUAUAAGAAAAAAGCCAGAGCAUGAAACUUCGGUAUGGCUUAAAAUUAUACCCAAACUGGUAUGGACUCCCUCUUCUCUCCUUGCGAACUUCCAUCCUUAGCUGCUGUGCUUUUCUCUGCAUGGACAAACUUGUAAAUGUGUGGAGUGCUUUGCUUUCAAUAUUUUACGGAUCAUUGCUUGUGUGUGUUAUUAGUGUAAAGUAUGCAGCUAUUAAUAUGAUGGUAUGCAAGAAAAAAAUUGAGACAUAAAAAACAAAAUAGUGAUGAGAUUUUGCUCAAAAUUCCUAGCGCAAAUGUUCAAAAUUAAACCAGACUUAGCCUGUGGUUCAGUCAUGCUAGGUUUGAUCAGCCCUUAUGCUGUUUGGUUUGCUGAAACUUUAAAAAAUAUUUAAUUGAAUUUUUUAGAAGAAAAUUAAAAUGAUUUAAAAAAAAAUCCAAAAAAAUGGUCGAAUUGUCAUGCUUAUAAGUUAUUCUGGUUGUUGCUGUUGUGUUCUUUUCUCUGCUUGGUUGGAGAAAUGAAUUUUAUCCCUUCACUUAUUUUCCGCAUGAGAAAAAAUUAAACUCAUGCUCAGCUCUCCCUUUCUGCAUUCAACCAUCAACCAGGAAGCUGGCUACUCUUUGGUGUAAUAUCCAUCAUCAUCUUUUCUACUGCAAUGCCAAUUUACCUAAUCUUAAACGAAAUUUCUCAUGAAUAAAAAUUUCCAAUGGAUUUUCAUAAAAUUCAUGAUCUAAUUCCCCCAUUGAAAAACUCCAUAUUCAUCUCUCCCGUCUCACAGCAUUUUUUGCUGCAAAGCAUAAUCUUUUGUAGAGUCAAAGCUUAUGCAACCACAUGUUGGUAGUUCAAAACCUCAAACAGACAUAUAAUUGAUAUGGACCAAAAUGGGUAGGCAUAUGGUCCAUAUAAAGUUGCCAAAGUUGAGUUGAGGGUAUUUUAGUGUGGAAGACUGACGUAUUCACAAUUAGUUCUGUCUACAAGACUCUAGCGCCAGGUGCAACCUUUCCUUUUGCUGUUGAACAUAUUUGAGAUCCUAAAGUGCCUUCCAUGGUUGGCUUUUUGCUUGGAUGGCAUUGUGGGAGAAAAUCUUAAACAUAGAUCAGCUUAUAAGAUGAGAGUGGACCUAGGUGAAGUGGGAUUGCCAUUACAAGCAAGAUGAGGAGAUGGCUGAUCAUAAAAUCCAUUGUGACUGGAUCUCUUGCUCUUUGCAUUUCUCUCUUUGGGGUGGGUUGGGUUAUUCCCUGGGAAUAUUUUUCUAAGAUAGCUCAAUAGUUUCAGGGUAAAGAAUCACAAAGCAGUUCAGAAAAUGGCUCUACUAAUUUUGUUUUGGAUGGUUUGGAAAAAGUGGAAGUGAUGAACCUUCAAAAAUUUGAAGCAUUUGAUUUUGGUUGUCAAGAAUCAGUUUCUAAGUUCUUUGGUUUUUUUUCUUGGUCUAAAGGGCUCUGUACUGAUGGGAUGCCAACUUUAGCUUUGUAGAUUUUGUUAACAGUUUGGGUUGCUUUAUGUGCGUUUCUUUUCCUUCUUUUUUUCAAUUAACAGAGUGGAUGUGUAUGGGCCUGUGUAUUUUCAUUUCUCCAUUGACCAUGGUUGUAUCCCUUUCUUGUUUGUGCCUAUGCACAUACUGAUUCAUUUAUUGCCAUCAGUCCAGUGACAUAAGUUUUAUCAGGCAAAGCUGCUUUAUUCUGUUUUUCCAAGAGUAGAUUAAACAGUAGUCUCUAGCCCCUCCGGGGCAGUGGCCAGCUUAACUCGUAGGUACUUUCCGUUCAGGAGAGGUGGGAGGUUCCAGGUUCCAGUCAUGGGCUUACAUAAUACGUGGUUCUGGUGGUAGGGGUUGUUUAAUGGCGGCCGUCCCUGGUCUUGCAGAAUACACCAUGUUUGUGUUAUUUAACAAAAUGAUCUUAGAAUCUUUGCAUUUUCAAGAUUAGAUCCUUGUAUCCUUUGAAACUCCAACUAAGCUGAUCUAUGCAGGUCCUGCAACAUGUAGAAUUCAGAAGUGAGACCAAAUUAAAUUAACUUAAUCACCUAUUUCUUGUGAGAAAA